Molecule: non-coding RNA, 837 nt
Filed under: Pan troglodytes (chimpanzee)
Lineage: Eukaryota; Metazoa; Chordata; Mammalia; Primates; Hominidae
Source: RNAcentral
AGAGGAACUGGACACCAGGAGCCUCAUACCAGGACUGCCCAGCCGAGCCACUCGAUUCCUGACCCACAUGGCCCUUGAGAUGACAAGUGAUUGAUUGCUGCUUAAAGUCACUGAGUUCUGGAAUAAUUUACAUCAUGGCAAUAGUUCCAAUAUUCAGUAUCAGGCCUGGUCCUCCUAAUCUACUGGAGAAGAGUUGGUUAUGGCAUGGCAUCUAACAGUCAUCUCUUCUUAAUACAAAUGAUAAUAAAUUUCACUGCUAAGAAGACAAUCAUCUGAAAAAAACAGACAUUUGCUUAUGUUUUAAAGUCAUAAUAGCAAACUGGGGCUCUCUUCAACAUCUGGAUUCAUCUCAGAGCACUGGCAAUCUGUGUUUAACAGCAGUCAUGUCUUUACCAGAUGUAGAAAGAAUGUUCUCUUCUUUUGGACUUACCUAAAUAUCAUUUGGAAAUUGGAAGAACAGGAAAGCAUAUCCUUUUUCACUAACUAUAAAAAUAAUUUGGAAGGAGAAGGAAACAAAAAAAACCUUGAAGUUUUCUAUGCUGGUCUACGUGGUCUUACAAUGAAUCUCAGAGCAACGGUUUAUGACUUAAAUUAUAUGCUGUGUUCCUUAGCAUACUUUUUCUUCAAAAACUAGUAAUUCUAAAUUGUAUAAUUCUUGACUAUGAUAAAAGAGCCCAUUUCUUGACCAUGUCAUUUAUACUGGACUUUUGUUACUGAUGGGGAAAAAUCCAGAAUUUGUAAUAAUUAUGUCUUGGAUAUGCAAAUGGUUGAUUAUUUUCCUAACAAUUCCCAAAAUAUCCACAUCAUAAAGCAGAAUUAAAGAUGGUUUGCCUCUGA